GAUGAACGCUGGCGGCGUGCCUAAUACAUGCAAGUCGAGCGAACGGACGAGAAGCUUGCUUCUCUGAUGUUAGCGGCGGACGGGUGAGUAACACGUGGAUAACCUACCUAUAAGACUGGGAUAACUUCGGGAAACCGUAGCUAAUACCGGAUAAUAUUUUGAACCGCAUGGUUCAAAAGUGAAAGACGGUCUUGCUGUCACUUAUAGAUGGAUCCGCGCUGCAUUAGCUAGUUGGUAAGGUAACGGCUUACCAAGGCAACGAUGCAUAGCCGACCUGAGAGGGUGAUCGGCCAAACUGGAAAUGAGACCCGGUCCAGACUCCUACGGGGGGCAGCAGUAGGGAAUCUUCCGCAAUGGGCGAAAGCCUGACGGAGAAACGCGGGGGGAGUGAUGAAGGGUUUCGGAUCGAAAAACUCUGUUAUUAGGGAAGAAAAUAGGUGUAAGUAACUGUGAAAAUCUUGGCGGUACCAAAUAAAAAAGCCCCGGCUAACUACGU
RNAcentral lists this ribosomal RNA (496 nucleotides) under uncultured bacterium. RNAcentral's name for it is "partial 16S ribosomal RNA". It matches the Rfam family "Bacterial small subunit ribosomal RNA", at positions 28 to 506 of the family's 1533-position model. The record is from RNAcentral.